RNAcentral lists this ribosomal RNA (304 nucleotides) under Candidatus Gottesmanbacteria bacterium. RNAcentral describes it as "partial 16S ribosomal RNA". It matches the Rfam family "Bacterial small subunit ribosomal RNA", at positions 1219 to 1533 of the family's 1533-position model. Lineage: Bacteria; Candidatus Gottesmaniibacteriota. The record is from RNAcentral.
CACACCCUACAAUGGCGAAUAACAAUGGGACGCGAGGUAGUAAUGCCAAGCAAAUCUCCAGUAAAUUUCGCCUCAGUUCAGAUUGAGGGCUGCAACCCGCCCUCAUGAAGUCGGAAUCGGUAGUAAUCGCAGAUCAGCAGGCUGCGGUGAAUACGUUCUCGGGUCUUGUACACACCGCCCGUCAAGCCAACAAAGUUGGAGGCGGCCGAAGAGCCCCGCAAGGGGAGCUAAGCCGAAUCCAGCGAUGGGGACUAAGUCGUAACAAGGUAUCCCUAGCCGAAGCUGGGGAUGGAUCACCUCCUUU